RNAcentral lists this ribosomal RNA (221 nucleotides) under uncultured bacterium. Its description in RNAcentral is "partial 16S ribosomal RNA". It matches the Rfam family "Bacterial small subunit ribosomal RNA", at positions 111 to 334 of the family's 1533-position model. The record is from RNAcentral.
UAAUGUCUGGGAAACUGCCUGAUGAGGGGGAGUAACUACUGGAAACGGUAGCUAAUACCGCAUAAUGUCGCAAGACCAAAGUGGGGGACCUUCGGGGCCUCAUGCCAUCAGAUGUGCCCAGAUGGGAUUAGCUAGUAGGUGGGGUAACGGCUCACCUAGGCGACGAUCCCUAGCUGGUCUGAGAGGAUGACCAGCCACACUGGAACUGAGACACGGUCCAG